GACGAACGCUGGCGGCGUGCUUAACACAUGCAAGUCGAGCGGUAAGGCUCCUUCGGGAGUACACGAGCGGCGAGCGGGUGAGUAACACGUGAGUAAUCUGCCCUUCACUUCGGGAUAACCACCGGAAACGGUGGCUAAUACCGAAUACGACCAGUCUUCGCAUGAGGUGCUGGUGGAAAGUCUUUUCGGUGAAGGAUGUGCUCGCGGCCUAUCAGCUUGUUGGUGGGGUAAUGGCCUACCAAGGCUUCGACGGGUAGCCGGCCUGAGAGGGUGACCGGCCACACUGGGACUGAGACACGGCCCAGACUCCUACGGGAGGCAGCAGUGGGGAAUAUUGGACAAUGGGCGAAAGCCUGAUCCAGCAACGCCGCGUGAGGGAUGACGGCCUUCGGGUUGUAAACCUCUUUCAGUACCGACGAAGCGCCCUGUCGGGUGGUGACGGUAGGUACAGAAGAAGGACCGGCCAACUACGUG
Molecule: ribosomal RNA, 474 nt
Filed under: uncultured bacterium
Lineage: Bacteria
Description: partial 16S ribosomal RNA
Rfam family: Bacterial small subunit ribosomal RNA
Source: RNAcentral